AAACCAGCACCUCAAGUGGUCAGGAUGAUUAUGGGGCCUAAAGCAUCCGUAGCCGGCUCUGUAAGUUUUCGGUUAAAUCUGUACGCUUAACGUACAGGCUGCUGGGAAUACUGCAGGGCUAGGGAGUGGGAGAGGUAGACGGUACUCGGGAGGAAGUGGUAAAAUGCUUUGAUCUCUCGAUGACCACCUGUGGCGAAGGCGGUCUACCAGAACACGUCCGACGGUGAGGGAUGAAAGCUGGGGGAGCAAACCGGAUUAGAAACCCGGGUAGUCC
Molecule: ribosomal RNA, 274 nt
Filed under: uncultured bacterium
Lineage: Bacteria
Description: partial 16S ribosomal RNA
Rfam family: Archaeal small subunit ribosomal RNA
Source: RNAcentral